Molecule: ribosomal RNA, 253 nt
Filed under: uncultured bacterium
Lineage: Bacteria
Description: partial 16S ribosomal RNA
Rfam family: Bacterial small subunit ribosomal RNA
Source: RNAcentral
UACGUAGGGGGCAAGCGUUGUCCGGAAUCAUUGGGCGUAAAGAGCGUGUAGGCGGCCCGAUAAGUCCGCCGUGAAAGUCCAGGGCUCAACCCUGGAAUGCCGGUGGAAACUGUCGGGCUGGAGUCCGGAAGAGGCGAGUGGAAUUCCUGGUGUAGCGGUGAAAUGCGCAGAUAUCAGGAGGAACACCAAUGGCGAAGGCAGCUCGCUGGGACGGUACUGACGCUGAGACGCGAAAGCGUGGGGAGCGAACAGG